UACGGAGGAUGCGAGCGUUAUCCGGAUUUAUUGGGUUUAAAGGGUGCGCAGGCGGGCUUUUAAGUCAGCGGUGAAAUCUGGACGCUUAACGUCCAAACUGCCGUUGAAACUGGGAGUCUUGAGUAUGGAUGAAGUAGGCGGAAUUCGUUGUGUAGCGGUGACAUGCAUAGAUAUAACGAGGAACUCCGAUUGCGUAGGCAGCUUACUAAGCCAUAACUGACGCUCAUGCACGAAAGCGUGGGGAUCAAACAGG
Molecule: ribosomal RNA, 253 nt
Filed under: uncultured bacterium
Lineage: Bacteria
Description: partial 16S ribosomal RNA
Rfam family: Bacterial small subunit ribosomal RNA
Source: RNAcentral